GAUGAACGCUGGCGGCGUGCCUAAUACAUGCAAGUCGAGCGAACGGACGAGAAGCUUGCUUCUCUGAUGUUAGCGGCGGACGGGUGAGUAACACGUGGAUAACCUACCUAUAAGACUGGGAUAACUUCGGGAAACCGGGGCUAAUACCGGAUAAUAUUUUGAACCGCAUGGUUCAAAAGUGAAAGACGGUCUUGCUGUCACUUAUAGAUGGAUCCGCGCUGCAUUAGCUAGUUGGUAAGGUAACGGCUUACCAAGGCAACGAUGCAUAGCCGACCUGAGAGGGGAAUCGCCAACACGGAACUUGAGACAGGGCCCAGAUUCCAACGGGAGGAGCAAGAGGGAAAUCUGCCGAAUGGGGCGAAAGCUUGACGGAGCAACGCCGCGGGAGUGAGGAAGUCCUCCGAAUCGUAAAACCCUGUUAUUAGGAAAGAACAUAUGUUAAAGUAACAGUGACCACCUGAACGUAACCUAACCAAAAAGCCACGGCUAACUACGU
This 496-nucleotide ribosomal RNA is filed under the name uncultured bacterium. Its description in RNAcentral is "partial 16S ribosomal RNA". It matches the Rfam family "Bacterial small subunit ribosomal RNA", at positions 28 to 506 of the family's 1533-position model. The record is from RNAcentral.